This 613-nucleotide ribosomal RNA is filed under the name Lodderomyces elongisporus. RNAcentral describes it as "LSU rRNA". It matches the Rfam family "Eukaryotic large subunit ribosomal RNA", at positions 38 to 667 of the family's 3401-position model. The record is from RNAcentral. Lineage: Eukaryota; Fungi; Ascomycota; Pichiomycetes; Serinales; Debaryomycetaceae.
GCAUAUCAAUAAGCGGAGGAAAAGAAACCAACAGGGAUUGCCUUUAGUAGCGGCGAGUGAAGCGGCAAUAGCUCAAAUUUGAAAUCUGGCACUUUCAGUGUCCGAGUUGUAAUUUGAAGAAGGUAUCUUUGGGUCUAGCUCUUGUCUAUGUUUCUUGGAACAGAACGUCACAGAGGGUGAGAAUCCCGUGCGAUGAGAUGUCUAGAUCUAUGUAAAGUUCCUUCGAAGAGUCGAGUUGUUUGGGAAUGCAGCUCUAAGUGGGUGGUAAAUUCCAUCUAAAGCUAAAUAUUGGCGAGAGACCGAUAGCGAACAAGUACAGUGAUGGAAAGAUGAAAAGAACUUUGAAAAGAGAGUGAAAAAGUACGUGAAAUUGUUGAAAGGGAAGGGCUUGAGAUCAGACUUGGUAUUUUGUAUGUUACUCUCUCGGGGGUGGCCUCUACAGUUUACCGGGCCAGCAUCAGUUUGAGCGGUAGGAGAAUUGCGUAGGAAUGUGGCUCGGCCUCGGUCGAGUGUUAUAGCCUUCGUCGAUACUGCCAGCUUAGACUGAGGACUGCGGCUUCGGCCUAGGAUGUUGGCAUAAUGAUCUUAAGUCGCCCGUCUUGAAACACGGACC